Molecule: ribosomal RNA, 400 nt
Filed under: uncultured Chrysophyceae
Lineage: Eukaryota; Chrysophyceae
Description: partial small subunit ribosomal RNA
Rfam family: Eukaryotic small subunit ribosomal RNA
Source: RNAcentral
GCUUGUCUCAAAGAUUAAGCCAUGCAUGUCUAAUAAGUAUUAUAAACAAAUCUCAACUGUAAAACUGCGAAUAGCUCAUUAUAUCAUUUAUAGUUUCUUUGAUGGUCCUUACUACUUGGAUAACCAUAGUUAUUCUAGAGCUAAAACAUGCAUGAGCCCCCGACCUUUAAAGGGGUAUACUUAUUAGAUUGAAACCAAUGCGGCGGGUUCCCCGGUAUUUGGUGAUCCAUUAUAACUUUCGGAUCGACUUCGGUCGAUGCAUCAUUCAAGUUUCUGCCCUAUCAGCUUUGGAUGGUAGGGUAUCGGCCUACCAUGGCUUUAACGGGUAACGGCGAAUUAGGGUUCGAUUCCGGAGAGGGAGCCUGAGAAAAUGGCUAUCAAAUCCAAGGAAGGCAGCAGG